This is a non-coding RNA of Oryctolagus cuniculus (rabbit), 2694 nucleotides long. The record is from RefSeq and is a predicted model, not a curated record. Lineage: Eukaryota; Metazoa; Chordata; Mammalia; Lagomorpha; Leporidae.
GAGGCUGCCAGGCGGCUGCUCCCCUGCCCCUUCCCCGCGGCCUCCGAGCCCAGGAGGAAGACAGCCGGGUCCUCCUAAAGCCCCUGGGAGCCGCAGGGAGAGGUGGGUGAGUGGCAGAGGGCACCCGCCCCGCCCAGAGGCCCUGGCCGCCCUCCCCCAGAGGCUGCUCGAGCUGGGUGACCCUGUGGGGGUCUCCAGGCCUCUGCUCUCUCCCCUCCCCCUCCCCGGAGCCAGGCGAGGACACUGAGAUGCAGCGGCUGCAGCCGUGGAGCAGGGCGGUGCCAGCAGCCAAAGGGUUAAGGGCGCCGGCAGGGGCGCCUCCUAGGACGCGGCAGGGGCCGGGGUCGGAUGUCCCAGAGGUGGGACUGGCACGCGGGCUGCUAUUCCGGGGCUCUGAUGGCUGCUGUCUAUUUAUAGUGCUGGGGGGGGCAGCCCCGCACAGGCGGCAGAGGCUGCCUGCUGCAAUGUCACCACUGUCAUCGCUGCCGCAGGCUGCCGGCGCCCGCCACUGCCGCAGGGGACAGGCACCGCGUGAGAAUGGGCAGCAGCAUGGAGCCCCCCGGGGGUGGGUACCUGCACCUGGGUGCCGUGACGUCCCCCGUGGGCACGGCCCGCGUCCUGCAGCUGGCCUUCGGCUGCACCACCCUCAGCCUGGUGGCCCACCGGGGCGGCUUCACGGGCGCCCAGGGCACCUUCUGCAUGGCUGCCUGGGGCUUCUGCUUCGCGCUGUCCCUGCUGGUGGUAGCCUGUGAGUUCACCCGGCUCCACGGCUGCCUGCGCCUCUCCUGGGGCAACUUCACGGCGGCCUUCGCCAUGCUGGCCACACUGCUGAGCGCCACGGCUGCCGUCCUGUACCCGCUGUACUUCACCCGGCUGGAGUGCCCGCCCGAGCCCGCCGGCUGCAUGGCCAGGGACUUCCGGCUGGCAGCCAGUGUCUUCGCCGGGCUCCUCUUCCUGGCCUAUGCUGCGGAGGUGGCCCUGACGCGGGCCCGGCCUGGCCAGGUGGCCAGCUACAUGGCCACGGUGUCGGGGCUCCUCAAGAUCGUCCAGGCCUUUGUGGCCUGCAUCAUUUUUGGGGCGCUGGUCCACGACACCCACUACGGGCGCUACGUGGCCACCCAGUGGUGCGUGGCCGUCUACAGCCUGUGCUUCCUGGCUACGGUGGCUGUGGUGGUGCUGAGCGUGACGGGUCUCACGGGCGGCCUGGGCUGCCCCUUCGACCGCCUGGUCGUGGUCUACACCUUCCUGGCCGUGCUGCUGUACCUCAGUGCUGCUGUGAUCUGGCCCGUCUUCUGCUUCGACCCCAAGUAUGGUGAGCCGGGGCGGCCCAGGGACUGCCCUCGGGGCAGCUGCCCGUGGGACAGCCAGCUGGUGGUGGCCAUCUUCACCUACGUCAACCUGCUGCUCUACAUCGCCGACCUCGCCUACUCCCAGAGGAUCCGCUUCGUGCCCACUCUGUAGCCUGGCAAGUGCCACCUGCCCAGCUCCGCUGCCCGGCCAGGGGCUGCAGGCCCUGGAGGGGUGACCGGGUGAACCAACAUGGCAGGAGCAAGCAGGGGAGGGGGCGGGGCUCAGGGGCGAGGCCGUUGCUCUGCAGCUGGGCUCGGGCAGGGACAGAGGGGGCCUUGCGCGGGGCUGCAUGGAGGCGCCUCCCCUCAGGCGGCUCCAGGGCCUCCACGUCCACCUCUAUCUCUGCCCCAGCCCCACGUGCAUCCUUCUCCAUCUCUCCUUCUCCUGCCCUCUCUGGGCUGCAUGCUGGUCACUGUGAUGAGGGGACACCUGUGAAGCAGGUGCCACUGUGUCCACCUUGCCGAUGGAGACACCGAGGCUGAGGAUUAGGGAAUGGCCUGGGAUGCCCGUGCCUGUCUGGAGAUGCCACUCGGGCUGGGGUCUCCAGGGGUGUCAAGGGGCCAGCCAGCGGGGGGAGGGGGAGUGUGGGAAUCCCAGCUCCAGGGCCGUCCCUGCAGGGUCUUCCAGCGGCACAGGGCCCUGCCCCGGGGGCUGUGCCAGCUCACGGAAGGGCUUACCACCUCCAGGGAGCGCCCCUGUGGCUGCACACAUUAGAAGCACGCGGUGUGUGCGGUGGCUAGAGAUGGCACCACGGCCAGCAGGGUCCCACGAGACACGGCGUCCAAGGAGGAGCUGGGCUCCCACCCCGACUCGGAGCGCCCGCCGACACAGAGGUUCCACCACGCGCCUGCUGCGGGCUCAGGGUGGCCUGGCUCGGGGAGCAGCGAGCCACCGAGACACACACCCUGGGCACCAGCCGCCUCCCACGUGUCCACCAGAGCCAUCAUCCUCCGCGCUCCAGCCGCCUGCUCCAGCGCAAGAACCCAGCCCGGCCCAGCCCAGAGCCGGCCUGUGUCCACCCAGAGCCCCAGCGGGUAAAGCCGCCGCCUGCAGUGCUGGCAUCCCAUAUGGUUGCUUGUUCGAGUCCCGGCUGCUCCACUUCCGAUCCAGCUCUCUGCUGUGGCCUGGGAAAGCAGUGGAGGAUGGCCCAAGUCCUUGGGCCCCUGCACCCACGUGGGAGACCUGGAAGAAGCUCCUGGCUCCUGAUAGGCUCAGCUCCAGCCGUUGUGGCCAUUUGGGGAGUAAACCAGCGGAUGGAAGACCUCUCUCUCUCUGUCUCUCUCUCUGCCUCUCUGUAACUCUGCCUUUCAAAUAAAAAAAUCAAUCUUAAAAAACAAAACAAAA